AUUGAACGCUGGUGGCAUGCCUUACACAUGCAAGUCGAACGGUAACAGGUUUUCGGAUGCUGACGAGUGGCGAACGGGUGAGUAAUACAUCGGAACGUGCCUAGUAGUGGGGGAUAACUACUCGAAAGAGUGGCUAAUACCGCAUGAGAUCUACGGAUGAAAGCAGGGGAUCGCAAGACCUUGUGCUACUAGAGCGGCCGAUGGCAGAUUAGGUAGUUGGCGGGAUAAAAGCUUACCAAGCCGACGAUCUGUAGCUGGUCUGAGAGGACGAUCAGCCACACUGGGACUGAGACACGGCCCAGACUCCUACGGGAGGCAGCAGUGGGGAAUUUUGGACAAUGGGCGAAAGCCUGAUCCAGCAAUGCCGCGUGCAGGAUGAAGGCCUUCGGGUUGUAAACUGCUUCUGUACGGAACGAAAAGCCCCGGGUUAAUACCCUGGGGUCAUGACGGUACCGUAAGAAUAAGCACCGGCUAACUACGUGCCAGCCGCCGCCGUAA
This 498-nucleotide ribosomal RNA is filed under the name uncultured bacterium. RNAcentral describes it as "partial 16S ribosomal RNA". It matches the Rfam family "Bacterial small subunit ribosomal RNA", at positions 30 to 523 of the family's 1533-position model. The record is from RNAcentral.